Molecule: small RNA, 28 nt
Filed under: Bombyx mori (domestic silkworm)
Lineage: Eukaryota; Metazoa; Arthropoda; Insecta; Lepidoptera; Bombycidae
Description: ovarian small RNA-24538
Source: RNAcentral
UCAACAAGUGUCGUGGUGAUUAUAGGUA